AAGCACAAUUAAGUGUCUUGGCUGUGGCCUUUCAAGUCUCAAUCUUGUGCAAGAUCAAGUUCCAGUUUACAGAAGAGCUGAGCUUUUAGUUGUGGUUUGUCCCUUUUGAACGCCGGUGAUAAUU
Molecule: small nucleolar RNA, 124 nt
Organism: Rhincodon typus (whale shark)
Lineage: Eukaryota; Metazoa; Chordata; Chondrichthyes; Orectolobiformes; Rhincodontidae
Source: RefSeq, a predicted model, not a curated record